Molecule: ribosomal RNA, 385 nt
Filed under: marine copepod environmental sample
Lineage: Eukaryota; Metazoa; Arthropoda; Copepoda
Description: SSU rRNA
Rfam family: Eukaryotic small subunit ribosomal RNA
Source: RNAcentral
AGCUCCAAUAGCGUAUAUUAAAGUUGUUGCGGUUAAAAAGCUCGUAGUUGGAUCUCGGCAGCCAGGGGGCGGUUCGCUCCAAAGCGUGACUGCCCCAUUUGGCUGUGUGAUUGGCGGAGGUUCCGGGGUGCUCUUCGUUGAGUGUCCCGGUGCGCCGUCAGGUUUACUUUGAAAAAAUUAGAGUGCUCAAAGCAGGCUUUUCAGGCUUGAAUAUUCGUGCAUGGAAUAAUGGAAUAGGAACUCGUUCCUAUUUUGUUGGUUUUCGGGAAUCGAGUUAAUGAUUAAUAGGGACAAUUGGGGGCAUUAGUAUUCAAACGACAGAGGUGAAAUUCUUGGACCGUUUGAAGACUAACUACUGCGAAAGCAUUUGCCAAGAGUGUUUUCA